CGUAUAAGCGACUUCCUUGACGGUUCGGUUCGCGUUGUCGUAUGCUGCAAGUGUUUUGCAGCAAUGAAGAAAUAUCUAGACGAUGAUUUUCAGCGUAAAGUUCUGGAGUUGGCUGCGGUCCUAUCACGCCAGAGAGAUGUCCAGCUGCUGCUGGAGAACAGCUCUAUUCUGGACGAAGAGGGACAAGAACCUGGUCACAUGACAGACGGAAAAGUAGAGUCCACCAGGCUCCUGUUCACUCAAGAUGAGGAGGAGCCUCAACACAUUAAAACAGAAGCUGAUGGAGGCGACUGUGGAGGACCAGGGCCAGACUCUGACGUGGAUACACUUCACCACUCUGACCACCAGAUGUCACUCUCCUCUGAAUCCGACACUGACGACAGUGAAGACUGGAGAGAAAGCACUUACACUCAGUCUGCUUCCAAGUCCGUGAACAAUCCAAGGGUUCAUUUCAGUACCAAGAGAGAUGAUCUCAAAUCUCUGAUGGGGUCUGAAUGUGGGAGAGAAUGUUCUUCAAAGGCUCAAUGCAGAAAAUCCUGCUGGGGACCUUUGACUUGUUCAGUUUCUAGAAAAGAGGAUGACAUGACGUGGCAGGCCGCAAAGAAACCUUUCAUGCGCUCUCCCUGUGUUCCCAACUCAGUCUCGGAUGGUCCUGCAGGAAUGAAAAAAUGUUUGGAUGAUGAUUUCCAGCGUAAGGUUCUGGAGAUGGUCAGGAAAGCUGCAACCCACCCACACCAGAGAGAUGUCCAGCUGCUGCUGGUGAGGAGAGAAGCGGUUCCUAUUGGGCAGCAAGACAGCAGCUCCGGUUUGGACCCAGAGCGACGAGAACCUGGUCUCAUUAAAGAGGGAAAAGAAGAGUCCGCCAGGCUCCUGUUCACUCCUGUCAGUGUGAAGAAUGAAGAUGAGGAGGAGCCUCAACAUAUUAAAACAGAAGAUGAUGGAGGUGACUCUGAAGGACCAGAACCAGUCUCUGACGUGGAUACGCUUCUCCACUCUGGCCACCAGAUGUCACUCUCCUCUGAAUCCGAUACUGACGACAGUGAAGACUGGAGAGAAAGCACUUACACUCAGCCUGCUUUCAAGUCUGUGGACAAUCCAAAGGUUCAUUUCAGUACUAAGAGAGAUGAUCUCAAAUCUCUUAUGGGCUCUGAAUGUGGGAGAGAAUGUUCUUCAAAGACUGGGUUGACUCGACGCAGAAAAUCCUGCUGGGGACCUUUGACUUCUUCAGUUUCUAGAAAAGAGGAUGACAUGACGUGGCAGGCUGCAAAGAAACCUUUCAUGUGCUCUACCUGUGUUCCCGACUCAGUCUCGGAGGGUCCUGCAGGAAUGAAAAAAUGUUUGGAUGAUGAUUUCCAGCGUAAAGUUCUGGAGAUGGUCAGGAAAGCUGCAACCCACCCACACCAGAGAGAUGUCCAGCGGCUGCAGGUGAAGAGAGAAGCGGUUCCUAUUGGGCAGCAGGAGAGCAACUCCAGUCUGGACCCUGAGGGACGAGAACCUGGUCUCAUUAAAGAGGGAAAAGCAGAGUCCAUCAGGCUCCUGUUCACUCCUGUCAGUGUGAAGACUGAAGAUGAGGAGGAGCCUCAACACAUUAAAACAGAAGCUGAUGGAGGACCAGAACCAGACUCUGAUGUGGAUACGCUUCUCCACUCUGACCACCAGAUGUCACUCUCCUCUGAAUCCGACACUGACGACAGUGAAGACUGGAGAGAAAGCAGUUACACUCAGCCUGCUUCCAAAUUCAUGGACAGUCCAAAGGUUCAUUUCAGUACCAAGGGCGAUUACCUUGAAUCUCUGAUGGGCUCUGAAUGUGGGAGAGAAUGUUCUUCAAAGACUGGGUUGACUCGACGCAGAAAAUCCUGCCGGGGACCGUUGACUUCUUCAAUUUCUAGAAAAGAGGAUGACAUGACAUGGCAGGCCACAGAGAAACCCUUCAUGUGCUCUACCUGUGUUCCUGUCUCAGUCUCGGAUGGUCCGGCAGUAAUAAAGAAAUGUUUGGAUGAUGAUUUCCAGCGUAAGGAGCUGGAGAUGGUCCGGAAAGCUGCGGCCCACCCACACCAGAGAGAUGUCCAGCGACUGCAGGUGAAGAGAGAAGCGGUUCUUAUUGGGCAGCAGGAGAGCAGCUCCAGUCUGGACCCAGAGGGACGAGAACCUGGUCUCAUUAAAGAGGGAAAAGCAGAGUCCAUCAGGCUCCUGUUCACUCCUGUCAGUGUGAAGACUGAAGAUGAGGAGGAGCCUCAACACAUUAAAACAGAAGCUGAUGGAGGCGACUGUGGAGGACCAGAACCAGACUCUGAUGUGAAUAUGCUUCUCCACUCUGACCACCAGAUGUCACUCUCCUCUGAAUCCAACACUGACAAUAAGAGAGGGGUCAGGCUGCAGACAUCAUCUCUCAGGCCCCUCGACCUCCUCUAUCAGGCUCCUGCUGACGGAGCGCGACCUUGCCUCUCAGGCUCCUUCAGCACCGGAAGUGACCCAAUAUCUGAGCUUUGGCCAGAAACUGACAUUUCUCCAAAUCGGAGCCAAAAGAGAACAAUGCAUCAUUCGAUCAUUUCAAGUGGCUCACAAAUUGCAGCAGAUCGCUGUCGGACGUGCUGCAAACUUUACCACUGCCCUAUUUGCCCCGGAUUUAAACCAACUAAAUUGUGUAAAAUCCAGAGGCACCUGAAAGUUCACGUCAAAAAUGCAAUUUCGUUUAAAGAUAAAAGCAUAUGCAGGUGCGGUCUUGGGUGCAGGGCUGCAGCACAUUUCCAUUGCCCUGCAUGUGAAAAAACAGUUAUUAGAAGAGAUGACAUGGAAGGACACUUGGUGAUUUGUAGGGGGAUAUUGGAGCAGACAACUUAAACCUCCUCAAGUCCUGCUCGACUACCUUCGACCCCUGCCCUGUCCUACACAGCUCAACUGAAGGACAUGUCCUCCUCACCAAUUAAAAGUCAGGGAGAUUAUCCUCACAAAAAUCUCAUGUUUAAGAAGACGUGUCCCUACUGUAGAAUCCAAAUGUUCAUGUCAGUGAGAAGAAGGACAAUGCUGAUUACAAACCAAUGAUCUGCGCUGGCUGUGGGAGAAAAUGUUCAUCACAGUCCAGACAGACUGGGCACAUGAGCCUGUGUGGAGGAUCUUUGAAUGUUCAGUUUGCAGGAAACAUUUUGAGAUGAAGAGAAUGUGAUGGAUCACUUGAGCAUUUACAAUAGGGAGAAGCCCCUUAGCUGCGCUCAAUGCGAUAGAUUUUAUGCGAGGAUCUUACGCCUCAAAGACCACAUGCUCAAGUCACUCAGGUGAAAAACCGUUGAGCCAAUGUCUCAAGUAGCACAUUAAAAGUCACAAUGGAGAAAGGCCGUUCAGGUGCUCUUAUUGUGGUAAAUGUUUUACACAGACAAUCACACUUGAGGACUCCCUCUGGAGAGAAAAUUUUUAUUUGCCCUCAUUGUGGCAUAGGUUCUGCCCAGAGGACAUAAAUUCAGCUGCUCCCAAUGACGAAGUGUUACCAAGGGUAGUGUGGUUGAAGGAAAAACGCGGUAAUUCAGGAACGUAACAGCUUCCUUUUUUCACAAGUGACUUACCAUCUGGGUGUCUGGAGUCAGAACCACAGUGAAGUAGAUGAUAACGGAGUUUUGGUUCCUGCUUUUGCCUUCAAUUGCUAACUUUAUGACUUUGUGCAAUUGAAAGUAUUGAAAGUGAGUAUGAUGACUUGAAUGAGUGAAUCUUUAAUCAUUUGUGCCUAUCUAUCGGGCGUCUCUUACUUCGUACUUGUGAUAGGUGGUCUCAGGAUAUCACGCUCUCUUGGUUCAAAGGUGAGUUGCUGGUGUUUGAUGGUCUGAAGACUUCUGUUUUCGACAGCUGCAUUCAGGGAUCAAAACAUAUAGACACAUUUGUAACGCUUGUGGGGAAAAACCUUUCAUCUGCCCUCACUAUAGUAACAGUUUUAUAUGAACUGCCUGGUACUGACCCCUAAAAGCACCACAGCACUGAACUGCUCUGGCUUGUUUUAAAACGUCAAAUGGCAUGACAUGGCAAACAAAAAUACGAAGCUGUACACCUGGCUUGAUGCACCAUAAUAAAAUCAAAACAACUUUUCAACAACUGAAAUUGAGGACAUUUGGCUUUAUGCAUUGGAUCGGGCAGGUUGUUCGGAUCCAGUCAUUUCAGCCUAGAUCGGUCCCAAUCGUGAACCAGAUGCCGAUAAUAUUUCUGAACCUGGACUACAAGCUAAUGAAGAAGGACCACUGCAACAUCUGUGGAUGUAGCUUCUGACUUGACUCUUUGGCCUCACAACUAUCAUCAACAAAGAUCUUUCCGGUUACAGCACGUGACGCCAAUAAAUGAAGCUAUAAGAUCAACAACACAAUUUCAAACAUGGAUAAGAACACCCUACAAGUCCAAGUGCAUAGUGGUUCCCGUCUGUAUUUGAGGAAGAAAGACUUCAACCAUGAGAGUCAAGUGUGGACAAAGACAUCCUGCUGUCUAUUGAGCAGCAGAAGCUGUCUCUGAUAGGUGGUGCCCACGAUUGAAGCUCUUUCCACAUUCCAAACAGCAGAAAGGUUUCUCUCCUGUGUGAAUCCUGCUGUGGUUCUUCAGGUCCCGUCUGUCCGUGAAACACUUCCCACACUCUGAGCAGUUGAAAGGUUUGACUCCUGUGUGAAUCCUCAUGUGCCUGUUCAGAUGUUCACUCUGAUUGAAACACUUUCCACACACCGAGCAGCAAAAUGGUUUCUCUCCAGUGUGAAUUCUCGCGUGAAUCUUCAGGUGUUCGCUCUGAUUGAAACACUGACCACACUCCGAGCAGCAAAACGGUUUCUCUCCUGUGUGAAUUCUCAUGUGUGUCUUCAGAUGUCCUCUUUGAGUGAAACAUUUUCCACAGAACAAGCAGGACAAUGAAUUUUCCCCACUGCAACUAUUUUUGUGUCGACUCAGUCCUCGCUUGGAGGAAUAUGUGGUUCCACAUCCAGAGCAGUCUUCACUGUCGUCAGUGUCUGAUGCAGAAGAGAGCGACCUCAGGCACUCAGAGUGAAGAUCGGGACGUAUCCCUGGUCCUCCACAGUCGACCUCUUCUGUUUUCAUGAGCUGUCGUGAGCUGCCGGCUGGAGGCUCAUCCUCUCUCUGUGACGCCUCUACAUUAUCUUCACU
RNA transcript from Synchiropus splendidus (mandarinfish), 5121 nucleotides. RefSeq lists it as uncharacterized. The record is from RefSeq and is a predicted model, not a curated record. The transcript is spliced from 9 exons. Lineage: Eukaryota; Metazoa; Chordata; Actinopteri; Syngnathiformes; Callionymidae.